UAAAAAAGUGCCGGGCGGAUGGCCCCUGG
This 29-nucleotide non-coding RNA is filed under the name Rattus norvegicus (Norway rat). The record is from RNAcentral. Lineage: Eukaryota; Metazoa; Chordata; Mammalia; Rodentia; Muridae.